Molecule: ribosomal RNA, 253 nt
Filed under: uncultured bacterium
Lineage: Bacteria
Description: partial 16S ribosomal RNA
Rfam family: Bacterial small subunit ribosomal RNA
Source: RNAcentral
UACGGAGGGGGCGAGCGUUGUCCGAAGUUACUGGGCGUAAAGGGCGCGUAGGCGGGGUGUCACGUCCGCUGUGAAAGCCUGGAGCUUAACUCCAGCGGGUCGGUGGAUACGGACACUCUUGAAGGCAUUAGGGGAAGAUGGAAUUACCCAUGGAGCGGUGAAAUGCGUAGAGAUGGGUAGGAACACCGGUGGCGAAGGCGGUCUUCUGGGAUGUCCUUGACGCUGAGGCGCGACAGCGUGGGGAGCAAACAGG